GACGAACGCUGGCGGCGUGCCUAAUACAUGCAAGUAGAACGCUGAAGAGAGGAGCUUGCUCUUCUUGGAUGAGUUGCGAACGGGUGAGUAACGCGUAGGUAACCUGCCUUGUAGCGGGGGAUAACUAUUGGAAACGAUAGCUAAUACCGCAUAACAAUGGAUGACACAUGUCAUUUAUUUGAAAGGGGCAAUUGCUCCACUACAAGAUGGACCUGCGUUGUAUUAGCUAGUAGGUGAGGUAACGGCUCACCUAGGCGACGAUACAUAGCCGACCUGAGAGGGUGAUCGGCCACACUGGGACUGAGACACGGCCCAGACUCCUACGGGAGGCAGCAGUAGGGAAUCUUCGGCAAUGGGGGCAACCCUGACCGAGCAACGCCGCGUGAGUGAAGAAGGUUUUCGGAUCGUAAAGCUCUGUUGUAAGUCAAGAACGAGUGUGAGAGUGGAAAGUUCACACUGUGACGGUAGCUUACCAGAAAGGGACGGCUAACUACGUGCCAGCAGCCGCGGUAAUACGUAGGUCCCGAGCGUUGUCCGGAUUUAUUGGGCGUAAAGCGAGCGCAGGCGGUUUGAUAAGUCUGAAGUUAAAGGCUGUGGCUCAACCAUAGUUCGCUUUGGAAACUGUCAAACUUGGGUGCAGAAGGGGAGAGUGGAAUUCCAUGUGUAGCGGUGAAAUGCGUAGAUAUAUGGAGGAACACCGGUGGCGAAAGCGGCUCUCUGGUCUGUAACUGACGCUGAGGCUCGAAAGCGUGGGGAGCGAACAGGAUUAGAUACCCUGGUAGUCCACGCCGUAAACGAUGAGUGCUAGGUGUUGGAUCCUUUCCGGGAUUCAGUGCCGCAGCUAACGCAUUAAGCACUCCGCCUGGGGAGUACGACCGCAAGGUUGAAACUCAAAGGAAUUGACGGGGGCCCGCACAAGCGGUGGAGCAUGUGGUUUAAUUCGAAGCAACGCGAAGAACCUUACCAGGUCUUGACAUCCCGAUGCUAUUUCUAGAGAUAGAAAGUUACUUCGGUACAUCGGUGACAGGUGGUGCAUGGUUGUCGUCAGCUCGUGUCGUGAGAUGUUGGGUUAAGUCCCGCAACGAGCGCAACCCCUAUUGUUAGUUGCCAUCAUUCAGUUGGGCACUCUAGCGAGACUGCCGGUAAUAAACCGGAGGAAGGUGGGGAUGACGUCAAAUCAUCAUGCCCCUUAUGACCUGGGCUACACACGUGCUACAAUGGUUGGUACAACGAGUUGCGAGUCGGUGACGGCAAGCUAAUCUCUUAAAGCCAAUCUCAGUUCGGAUUGUAGGCUGCAACUCGCCUACAUGAAGUCGGAAUCGCUAGUAAUCGCGGAUCAGCACGCCGCGGUGAAUACGUUCCCGGGCCU
Molecule: ribosomal RNA, 1369 nt
Filed under: uncultured bacterium
Lineage: Bacteria
Description: bacterial SSU rRNA
Rfam family: Bacterial small subunit ribosomal RNA
Source: RNAcentral